Molecule: long non-coding RNA, 4662 nt
Filed under: Citrus x clementina
Lineage: Eukaryota; Viridiplantae; Streptophyta; Magnoliopsida; Sapindales; Rutaceae
Description: Citrus clementina (C. clementina) long non-coding RNA (CCLE_LNC002271)
Source: RNAcentral
ACAGCAAUAUAUGUCCACGGUGGAUUCUCGAUUUGAGGAGCUACGUUCCCAAAUCAAUGGUUCCGUCGGAGCGUCAGUGGGUUCUUCCCGCCCAAUGGCACCGGAACCAGCGUCUUCGACUGUACUGUCAGGUGUUUCUGAUAUCUCUCCUCUGUUGCGUUCUAUGAAAAUGGAUGUCCCAAAAUUUGAUGGCACUGAUCCGACUGGUUGGGAUUUUCGAAUCAAUGAGUUCUUUGAUUUUCACGGCACCCCUGACCAUUUACGCCUUCGUAUUGUAUCUUUUCACAUGGAGGGAAAAGCAGCAGCAUGGUAUCAAUGGAUGAAGGCCAACAACUUGCUGAGCACUUGGCAGAAUUUUUUACUCAAUCUUAAGCAAAGAUUUGGUACAUCCAUGUAUGAAGAUCAUCCAGGUAACCUUUCCAAGCUCUCCCAAACGUCGACUGUUGCUGAUUUUCAGUCUGCCUUUGAGGAUUUGAUGAACAAGGUCACGGGCAUCUCCGAGCCAUUGUUGGUUAGUUUCUUUAUCACGGGCUUAAAACCCGAUAUCAGACGAGAAUUAUUAUUUGCAAGACCCACAUCUCUCAUGGAGGCUUUUGCUUUAGCCAAAGCUUAUGAGGCACGAUCGGAAGAAAUCAAGACCUCGAGCCGUUCUUGGACAAAGCGGACACCCUCAUCUAGUCACACCCACCAAUCCACCAUUACUGCCUCCCCACAUCCUGCAUCAUAUAAAACCCCAACAACAACUCUUCUUCCUAGUUUGUCAGCCACUAAACAGCCACGUCAACCCCCAUUAUUGCCUACUCCCACCUUGCCCAUUCGUCGAUUAACUCCAGCAGAAUUAAGAGAGAAAAGAGAAAAAGGGCUCUGUUACAACUGCGACAAAAAAUAUAGCGCCACACAUCGCUGCCGUAGCAAGUUUUUGUUAUUAAUGGGUACAGAUGAUGAAGAUGAUGAGCCAAGUGAGGACGCUUUUAGUCAUGCACAACCAGACGAAGUAGUCACAGCGGACAUAUCUAGUUUGAAUGCCUUGGCUGGGCAAACUAAUCCACGAUCUUUAAGGGUGCUGGGCACCGUUGCCAGCUAUCAGUUUCAGGUGUUAAUUGACAGUGGCAGUACCCGCAAUUUUCUUAAGCCGCCAUUGGCUGAACGCCUUGGCCUUUCUGUUCAAGCUAUAACUCCUUUUCGAGUUUACAUUGGCAAUGGCGAUUUUCUUACUUGUCGAUUUCUCUGCCCUAAAGUGCCUAUCAAUAUGCAGGGGCAUGAAUUUCUUUUGGAUUUCUUCCUUUUGCCAAUCGAAGGCCCUGAUGCUGUCCUUGGGAUUCAAUGGUUACAAAGCUUGGGAAGAAUUUCUACGGAUUACUCCGAGAUGACGAUGGAGUUUCAGUGGGAGGGAAAAUCUGUCAUUUUACGGGGAGACCCAAUUCCAAACCCGAAUUUAAUCUCUUUUAACCAGUUUCAUGCCUUGCUAUCCAACUCCAAAAUUGACAGCUUAUUUGAACUUCAUUCUUUACCAACUGAGCCAUCAGCAACUCACACAUCUACCAACACAUUGCCAGAUAAUGACUUAGAAUUUCUGAGGUCGUUGCCUGAACCUAUUACUACUCUCCUUAAAAAAUUUAAGGCAUUAUUUGCUCCACCCACUGGUCUUCCCCCUCAACGGCUAUUUGAUCACAAAAUACACCUUAUUCCCAAUUCCAAACCAGUCAACGUUCGCCCAUAUCGGUAUCCUUAUUUUCAGAAAACCGAAAUGGAGAAAUUGGUGAGAGAAAUGUUAAAUCAAGGCAUCAUAAAACCCAGCCAAAGCCCGUUUUCUUCACCGGUAAUGCUAGUAAAGAAAAAGGAUGGCUCCUACAGAUUCUGCGUGGAUUACCGCGCUUUGAAUGCGGUGACGGUAAAGGACAAAUUUCCCAUCCCCACCAUUGAUGAAUUGUUUGACGAACAUGGCGGUGCUAGGAUUUUCAGCAAACUUGAUCUCAGAGCCGGUUAUCACCAGAUAAGAGUUCACAAGAGGGAUACUUAUAAAACAACGUUUCGUACGCAUGAUGGACACUACGAGUUUCUUGUUAUGCCGUUCGGUUUGACCAACGCGCCGUCCACUUUUCAAGCAACAAUGAACCAACUAUUUGCUUCCUUUUUACAUAAAUUUGUUAUUGUCUUUUUUGAUGAUAUAUUGGUCUAUAGUGCAUCAUUGGCUGAUCAUGUGUAUCAUUUGGAGCAGGUCAUGAGUUGUUUAUACACAUCUCAAUUUUAUGUCAAAUUCUCCAAAUGUUUAUUUUGUCAGGAAUCAAUUGAUUAUUUGGGCCAUAUUGAGUCGGCUCGAGGAGUGCACGCUGAUCCGCAAAAGAUCACAGCCAUGGUAGAUUGGCCCUUGCCUAAAUCGGUGAAGCAACUGAGAGGGUUCUUGGGGUUGACAGGGUACUACCGACGUUUUAUUCAAGGCUAUGCAACCAUCGCAGCUCCUCUCAUUGAGUUGCUUUAUAAGGAGGCUUUUCAUUGGAAUUUGGCAGCUACUCAAGCUUUUCAAGCAUUAAAGAAGGCUCUUGUGGAAGCCCCUGUACUUCACUUGCCGAAUUUUGCCUUGGAGUUUGUCAUUGAGACCAAUGGGUCUAAUGUCGGGAUCGGUGUUGUGUUAAUGCAAGCUGGGCAUCCUCUAUCUUAUUUUAUCAAAAAGUUGGGUCCUCGAAUGCGUGCAUCCUCGACAUAUUUGAAGGAAUUAUAUGCUAUUGUAGCUGCGGUUCAAAAAUGGCGUCAAUACCUCCUUGGCAGAUUUUUCCUUAUACGAACUGACCAUAAAAGCAUAAAGGAACUGUUUCAACAAGUUAUUCACACCCCAGAGCAGCAAAUUUACAUUCGCAAGUUGAUGGGUUAUCAAUUCAGAAUUGAUUAUAAAGCUGGUACCUUCAAUAAAGCUGCUGACGCUUUAUCGCGAAUUCAUGGGGACAACUUGACUGAAGAACCCAACCCAACGACUCUCUAUUUGUCGUUUGUAAGCCAACCUUCUAGUGAACUAUUGACAAAUCUGCACAAGGAAAAUUGCUCUCUUCAUGAUAUGAAACAACUCCAUCAGAGGUAUGCAGCCGGUUCACUUUCUUCUGACUUCUCGGUUCAAGAAGGGUUCCUGCUAUUUCGACAUCGAUAUUACCUCAGCCCCGACUCAUCAUUAAAAGCCGUGCUACUCAAAGAGUUUCACGAGACACCAAUGGCAGGACAUGCUGGUAUUAAAAAGACAUUGGUACGUCUUUCAUCAAAUUUCUUUUGGCCUAAGAUGAGGAAAGAUGUUGAGCAACUUGUAGCUGCUUGCCUUGUUUGCCAGCAAAUUAAAUACUCAACUCAAGCACCGGCGGGUCUGUUACAACCCUUGCCUGUCCCUUCAUUAGUUUAGGAUGAGUUAACCAUGGAUUUCAUUACAGGGCUGCCACUUUCGAGAGGAUUUGAAGCAAUUCUGGUUGUUGUGGAUCGUUUAUCAAAGUCAGCUCACUUUGGAGCCUUGCCUUCUCAAUUUACUGCCAUCAAAACAGCAGCUUUAUUUGCUGACAUGGUUGUGAAAUUACAUGGAUUUCCUAGCUCUAUAAUUUCAUAUCGUGAUCCUAUAUUCAUGAGCAACUUUUGGCAGAAAUUGUUUGAUUUAAGUGGGACACAGUUACGCCACAGCACGGCUUACCACCCUCAAACGGAUGGCCAAUCCGAAGUAGUUAACCGAGGGCUUGAGCAAUAUUUACGAGCCUUCACACAAGACAAGCCACAGACAUGGUCUUCAUUUUUAAGCUGGGCUGAAUUUUGCUACAAUACCAGUUAUCACUGCAGCUUGCGUAUGACUCCCUUUCAAGCCCUUUAUGGCCGUCUUCCUCCCACAAUUCCAAGUUACUCAAGGGGCUCUACUUCAAUCCAAGCUUUAGAAGACAUGUUAAUUGAGAGGGAUGCCAUGCUUUGCUCAUUAAAAGAGAACUUACGACAAGCUCAGCAUCGAAUGGCUCAAAAGGCUAAUUUACAUCGCCGAGAAACUCAAUUGCAGGUAGGUGAUAAAGUGCUGGUGCACCUUCAGCCAUAUCGCCAGACAUCAGUUGCUAAGCGCUCAUCUCACAAGCUGGCAAGGCGCUAUUAUGGACCGUUCACAAUGGUAGAGCGUAUUGGACCCGUUGCUUACAAGUUAGAGUUACCCACAAAUUGUAGAAUUCACCCGGUGUUCCAUAUUUCCUUACUAAAACCUUAUGUGGGAAACUCCCCCAUUGAUGUUUAUUCACUGCCUCCAGGAAGUGUGGAUAACAAGCCCCUGUCAUCGCCAAUUGCAGUAUGUGCUGAGCGAAAGAUACUUCGACAAGGCAAAGAAAUUCCACAAAUUUUGGUGCAAUGGUCUGAUAGCUCACCAGAAAAUUCGACUUGGGAGGACUUUGAGGAAUUUGGUAAACUCUACCCUGCACUACACCUUGAGGACAAGGUAAGCUUUCAAGGAAUGGGGAAUGAUACAACUUGGCCAAUUGUUGUGAAUCAGAUCGAGCACAAUGAGGCAGCAAAGGAAGAGACCCAGCCUGCAGCAAUGGAAGAAGUCCAACCCUUGAAUGAGACACAAGCUAGAGAGCAGCUCAAGACAGGUCCAGCUCGCGCGAGAAAGAAACCAGGAUGGCUCAAAGACUUUGUCAUUUGAGGAAUGUUCGAGAAUGCUUG